CAGUAGCCGCGGUAACACGAGGGGGGCAAGCGUUGUUCGGAUUUAUUGGGCGUAAAGGGUGCGUAGGCGGUUUGGCAAGUCUUGUGUGAAAUCUAUGGGCUCAACCCAUAGUCUGCACGGGAAACUGUCGGGCUUGAGAAUGGGAGAGGUGAGUGGAAUUUCCGGUGUAGCGGUGAAAUGCGUAGAUAUCGGAAGGAACACCUGUGGCGAAAGCGGCUCACUGGACCAUUUCUGACGCUGAGGCGCGAGAGCUAGGGGAGCAAACAGGAUUAGAUACCCCAGUAGUCCCUGUCUUUUAUAC
Molecule: ribosomal RNA, 301 nt
Filed under: uncultured bacterium
Lineage: Bacteria
Description: partial 16S ribosomal RNA
Rfam family: Bacterial small subunit ribosomal RNA
Source: RNAcentral